UACGUAGGUGGCAAGCGUUAUUCGGAUUCACUGGGCGUAAAGGGUGCGCAGGCGGCCAGAUGUGUCAGGGGUGAAAUACUGCAGCUUAACUGUAGAACUGCCUUUGAAACUAUCUGGCUAGAGUAUCGGAGAGGUAAGCGGAAUUCCAGGUGUAGCAGUGAAAUGCGUAGAUAUCUGGAGGAACACCGAAGGCGAAGGCAGCUUACUGGACGAUUACUGACGCUCAGGCACGAAAGCAUGGGGAGCGAAAGGG
Molecule: unclassified non-coding RNA, 253 nt
Filed under: uncultured Verrucomicrobiota bacterium
Lineage: Bacteria; Pseudomonadati; Verrucomicrobiota
Description: uncultured Verrucomicrobia bacterium contains 16S-23S intergenic spacer region
Rfam family: Bacterial small subunit ribosomal RNA
Source: RNAcentral